CACUGAAAUUUUAUAAGACUAGAUACUCAAUUUAGCGACUUGAUGGUCGAUUGAAGUUUUGGGUUUAGUUUAACGACUUUUCGGUCAUUUGAAUUUGGGUUUAGUUUAACGACUUUGCGGUCGUUUGAAUUUGGGUUUAGUUUAGCGACGUUUCGAUCGUUUGAAUUUGGGUUUAGUUUAGCGACGUUUCGGUCGUUUGAAUUUGGGUUUAGUUUAGCGACAUUUCAGUCGUUGGUUUUAGUUUAACGACGUUUCGGUCGUUGGGUUUAGUUUAACGACAUUUCGGUCGUUAAGUUUAGUUUAUCGACGUUUCGGUCAUUGGGUUUAGUUUAACGACGUUUCGGUCGUUGGGUUUAGUUUAACGACGUUUCGGUCGUUGGGUUUAGUUUAACGACGUUUCGGUCGUUUGGUUUAGUUUAACGACGUUUCGGUCGUUGGAUUUAGUUUAACGACGUUUCGGUCGUUUGGUUUAGUUUAACGACGUUUCGGUCGUUUGAGUUUGGGUUUAGUUUAGUGACGUUUCGGUCGUUUGGUUUAGUUUAACGACAUUUCGGUCAUUUGAAUUUGGGGUUUAGUUUAACGACGUUUCGGUCGUUUGGAUUUGUGUUUAGUUUAGCGACGUUUCGGUCGUUGGGUUUAGUUUAACGACGUUUCGGUCGUUGGGUUUAGUUUAAUGACGUUUCGGUCGUUUGGUUUAGUUUAACGAUGUUUCGGUCGUUUGGUUUAGUUUAACGACGUUUCGGUCGUUGGGUUUAGUUUAAUGAUGUUUCGGUCGUUAGGUUUAGUUUAACAACGUUUCGGUCGUUUGAGUUUGGGUUUAGUUUAGUGACGUUUCGGUCGUUGGGUUUAGUUUAACGACGUUUUGGUCAUUUGAAUUUGGAUUUAGUUUAACGACGUUUCGGUCGUUUGGAUUUGGGUUUAAUUUAGCGACAUUUCGGUCGUUUAGAUUUGAGAGGCUUUGGAUUUCGGGGUUUUAUUUGUGGACUUUAGGUUUUUGGGAUUUUAUUUGUGGACUUUGGGUUUCGAGAUUUUAUUUGUAGAUUUUGGGUUUUGGAAUUUAUUUGUGGACUUUGGUUUUGGGAUUUAUUUGUGGACUUUGGUUUUGGGUUGGCUUAAAC
RNAcentral lists this long non-coding RNA (1118 nucleotides) under Ananas comosus (pineapple). RNAcentral's name for it is "long non-coding RNA (ACOM_LNC013923)". The record is from RNAcentral. Lineage: Eukaryota; Viridiplantae; Streptophyta; Magnoliopsida; Poales; Bromeliaceae.